GACGAACGCUGGCGGCGUGCUUAACACAUGCAAGUCGAACGGAAAGGCCCUGCUUUUGUGGGGUGCUCGAGUGGCGAACGGGUGAGUAACACGUGAGUAACCUGCCCUUGACUUUGGGAUAACUUCAGGAAACUGGGGCUAAUACCGGAUAGGAGCUCCUGCCGCAUGGUGGGGGUUGGAAAGGUUCGGCGGUUGGGGAUGGACUCGCGGCUUAUCAGCUUGUUGGUGGGGUAGUGGCUUACCAAGGCUUUGACGGGUAGCCGGCCUGAGAGGGUGACCGGCCACAUUGGGACUGAGAUACGGCCCAGACUCCUACGGGAGGCAGCAGUGGGGAAUAUUGCACUAUGGGCGGAAGCCUGAUGCAGCAACGCCGCGUGCGGGAUGACGGCCUUCGGGUUGUAAACCGCUUUCGCCUGUGACGAAGCGUGAGUGACGGUAAUGGGUAAAGAAGCACCGGCUAACUACGUG
RNAcentral lists this ribosomal RNA (468 nucleotides) under uncultured bacterium. RNAcentral describes it as "partial 16S ribosomal RNA". It matches the Rfam family "Bacterial small subunit ribosomal RNA", at positions 28 to 507 of the family's 1533-position model. The record is from RNAcentral.